UACGGAGGGUGCAAGCGUUGUUCGGAAUUAUUGGGCGUAAAGGGCGCGUAGGCGGUUGUGUAAGUCAGAUGUGAAAUACUUCGGCUUAACCGGAGAACUGCAUUUGAAACUGCACAGCUAGAGUACAGGAGAGGGAAACGGAAUUCCCGGUGUAGAGGUGAAAUUCGUAGAUAUCGGGAGGAACACCAGUGGCGAAGGCGGUUUCCUGGCCUGAUACUGACGCUGAGGCGCGAAAGCGUGGGGAGCAAACAGGAUUAGAUACCCUGGUAGUCCACGCUGUAAACGGUGAACACUAGGUGUGGGAGGUGUAAUACCUUCUGUGCCGAAGCAAACGCGUUAAGUGUUCCGCCUGGGAAGUACGGCCGCAAGGUUGAA
This 375-nucleotide ribosomal RNA is filed under the name uncultured bacterium. RNAcentral's name for it is "bacterial SSU rRNA". It matches the Rfam family "Bacterial small subunit ribosomal RNA", at positions 524 to 898 of the family's 1533-position model. The record is from RNAcentral.